Molecule: ribosomal RNA, 329 nt
Filed under: uncultured bacterium
Lineage: Bacteria
Description: bacterial SSU rRNA
Rfam family: Bacterial small subunit ribosomal RNA
Source: RNAcentral
AGCGUAGGCGGUCUUUUAAGUGGGAUGUGAAAUCCCUGGGCUUAACCCAGGAAUUGCAUUCCAUACUGGGAGACUAGAGUGCAGGAGAGGAAAGUGGAAUUCCAAGUGUAGCGGUGAAAUGCGUAGAGAUUUGGAGGAACACCAGUGGCGAAGGCGACUUUCUGGACUGUAACUGACGCUGAGGCUCGAGAGCGUGGGGAGCAAACAGGAUUAGAUACCCUGGUAGUCCACGCUGUAAACGAUGAAUACUAGGUGUUGGGGGCGAAGCCCUCAGUGCCGCAGUUAACACAUUAAGUAUUCCGCCUGGGGAGUACGAUCGCAAGAUUAAA